Molecule: ribosomal RNA, 253 nt
Filed under: uncultured bacterium
Lineage: Bacteria
Description: partial 16S ribosomal RNA
Rfam family: Bacterial small subunit ribosomal RNA
Source: RNAcentral
UACAGAGGUGGCAAGCGUUGUUCGGAAUUACUGGGCGUAAAGGGCGCGUAGGCGGCCUACUAAGUCAGACGUGAAAUCCCCCGGCUUAACCUGGGAACUGCGUCUGAUACUGGAAGGCUUGAGUAUGGGAGAGGGAUGCGGAAUUCCAGGUGUAGCGGUGAAAUGCGUAGAUAUCUGGAGGAACACCGGUGGCGAAGGCGGCAUCCUGGACCAAUACUGACGCUGAGGAGCGAAAGCCAGGGGAGCAAACGGG